This 485-nucleotide ribosomal RNA is filed under the name uncultured bacterium. RNAcentral's name for it is "partial 16S ribosomal RNA". It matches the Rfam family "Bacterial small subunit ribosomal RNA", at positions 28 to 523 of the family's 1533-position model. The record is from RNAcentral.
GACGAACGCUGGCGGCGUGCCUAACACAUGCAAGUCGAACGGAGAUAUGAUUUCGGUUAUAUCUUAGUGGCGAACGGGUGAGUAACGCGUGAGCAACCUGGCCUUCAGAGGGGGAUAACAUUUGGAAACAGAUGCUAAUACCGCAUAAGACCACGACCCGACAUCGGGAUGAGGUCAAAGGAGUAAUCCGCUGAGGGAGGGGCUCGCGUCCCAUUAGAUAGAUGGCGGGGUAACGGCCCACCAUGUCGACGAUGGGUAGCCGAGCUGAGAGGCUGAUCGGCCACACUGGGACUGAGACCCGGCCCAGACUCCUACGGGAGGCAGCAGUGGGGAAUCUUGCGCAAUGGGCGAAAGCCUGACGCAGCAACGCCGCGUGGGGGAUGACGGCCUUCGGGUUGUAAACCUCUUUCGACCGGGACGAAGGAUUCGUUUGACGGUACCGGUAGAAGAAGCACCGGCUAACUACGUGCCAGCCGCCGCGGUAA